GACCCCGAAGGAAGGAUCAGCGCUAUUUUUGACCUUGAGACCCCCCACCCCCACGUCGUCAUCUUCCCUACAUCCCUAACGAGACCUAGCGUGAAUCAACCAAAAGCUAGCGCCGUUCAACCCAAACGACCCCUGCUCUCUCCUUUCACCUCAAACCAAACGACCCCAUCUCCGCCCUACCAUAUCGAACCAGCAGCCAUACACACACACGCAUAGAAACGAGAAAGGGACAGUAGCUGCGAGUUAGGUUCGACCGAGGUUCUAGUCGCCUAGUUCAUUUCAUUAUUGUUUCGUCCAAAUUCCGGCAGAAUCCAGUUGGUUUUCCGUCGAAGUUCCUAUUUUUCCGGCGAGAUCCGUUCGAAGCUUCCGAUUUGAGGUCAGUUUGAAGUCGCCGUUUGAGGUUUUCCGGUCGCUGGUUCUGUUCUUCACUGAAAUUUCACGGUGGAAAUUUUUUAUUAUUGUGAAAGGAAAUUUUCCUCAUUAAGGUGAUAACUAUCAAUGGUAUGUUUCCUGAACCUCUUCUAAAUGCUUCCACCAAUGAUAAUAUUCAUGUCAAUGUGUUCAACGAUAUGGAUCAAUAUCCUGUUCUCAUUACAUGGUAAAUUAUCUUCUUUAAUUUACUACCACUAUUUAUUUAAUGGAUAUUAUGUUUACGUUGUUGCUAAUUAAAUAGACAUUUCUUCUUAUUCUCUGCAUUUACUGUUUCAUCAGUACAGACUAUUGAGAUUAGAGGGGGCGGUUAUAAUUGUCCUUUGAUAAGCUCUAGUUGCAGUGGAAUCUUCAUCUUUAUUAGACCGUUUUUGUUUUUUUGUUUACAAACUUUAAACUUUACAUAUAUUUAUUAAUAACAAAUUAGUACCCGUAUAUAGUAUGACUAUAUUCUGAUCCUAACUGAUUUUUGGAUUGAGGUUUAAUUGGUUGAUUUUGCGUUUAUGAUUCUAGAAAAUUUGGCGAAAUCUGGUUAUUUUUGUCUAUUCAUGUUAGAGUAAGUUGAGGUAUGCCAUCAAAUCACAUAAUCUAUGGCCCUCAUAUUAAUUUUACAAUUUAGUGUAGAAAGCCUUUAGGGCCGUUUAAAAUACAAUUGUGAUUGUGUACACGUUCGCGUGACAUGAUUACAAUUCUAAAAACCAAUUCGGAGUAUGCGUUCGCGCAACUUCGAACAAACCUUCAUAAUAAUAAAAAUGGAUUUUCGUAGGUUUUUAAUUAAAUUAGCUCAUAUAGUCCGAGGUGUGCCGUUUACCAUUUAAUCAUACAAAAUGACAAAUGUUCGUAGUUUGCUUUAGGCACGCGCAACUUUGGCCAAACUUUUUUUUUUAUAAUAAUAAAGCGUUAUUAAUUGUGGACACGUUCACGUGACAUGAUUUUUUUGACGCGCCAAACAAAUGGUUACACGUACGCGUGACCCGUUUCAAGAUAAUUUUCUUAAUUAAAAAGCGGUAAAGGAUAAAUGCAUAUAGGAUCUAAAGUCAGUAAUUAAACAAUUUUAAUAAGCCAAGUAUGAUCAAAGCGACCGUGCUAGAACCACGGAACUCGGGAAUGCCUAACACCUUCUCUCGGGUUAACAGAAUUCCUUACUCGGAGUUCUGGUUCGCAGACUGUAAUACAGAGUCAAUCUUUUCCUCGACUCGGGAUUUGAACCGGUGACUUGGGACACCAUAAAUCUCCCAAGUGGUGACUUGAUUUUUAAAUAAAUAAACAAUCCCGUUUCGUUUGUCCUUUAAUUGGAAAAACUCUCUUAUAUUUAUACCCUUUACGGGAUGUAGUAAAAAGGAGGUGUGACAGAUGGCUCUCGAGAUGCAGAUCAUAUAUCGCACCUUAGUCAUACUUGAGUUUUGUAGCGUAUGACGCUAUCUGUCUCCCCGAGAAUUUCAUUAUGCACUUCGCGUGCUUGUGGUUGAUAUUCGGGUAUUUUACAGGUAUGAGCAUUUUAGCUCGAUAAGUAAUUCCUUUAUAGAUUAUUAUGUGUUGAUCGGGUGGCACUCCACCAUCGGUACAUUGUUUAGAUCGGGUUGCACGCCGCCACGGGUACCAUGGUUGGAUCGGGUUGCACACUGCAAUGGUAUUAUGUGUGGAUCGGUUUGUACGCUGCAACAAUGUGAUCUUGAGUAUAGUUUCCCAUAUCUAUUCUGGUGUGUUUUGUUUCUCAUUUUCUGAGAAAGGUUCAUAACACUUUUUGGAUGCUAAUUAGUUAAGUGGGUUGAGUAGUUCUUUCCAGAGUUCAUAUUUCCCUUUGGUAUGACAUUCGAUUUUGUAGCUUGUUGGCACAUUGUGGCAUCAUAUGAGACUUUUGGCAAUGUCUGAGGUGGUUUAUUGCUUGAGCAACUUGUACUGGGUGAGACGAGAUUAUUGGACCUGGGAUUAGUGCGAUCAGAUUUAUAUGAAGCAUUACAGAGCAAAUAUAGAUAUUCAGUCCAGGAUGAGGUAAUAGUUCUUGUUAAGAGGAGAAACUUAAUGAAUUGUUGAGCAAAUAUACAUUGUGUGGGCAUUUGCGACAUUUGCGACUGGAGCCAAGGGCUUUUUAUUCCUAGACUUAGCCCAUUUCCCUCAUUUCCCACUUGGAAUUAGGCAAUUUUUGAGAGCAUUUAUAGAGGGGAUUCCAUCAUCAUCAAAAGGUAAGUGAUUUCUUCUAGUUGUGAGUUAAAUACAAGGUUUAUGGAUUUAGACAUAAAAAUUUGUAAAAAAUUUGGGAUUUUGAAGAAAAACCUAGAAAUUGGUAUUCUUGGAUUUUGACCACGAAUUGGGGCAUGAAAUUUGAAUUAUAUAUUUGAGUUCGUGGGGUUAUGGAUAAAGUUUAUCUUCGAAAAUUUUCGGAAUCGGGCACGUGGGCCCGAAGGUGAUUAUUAUCGACUUUUCGAACGGAGUUGGAAAUUAUUUUAAAUAGAAUUAUAAGGAGUAUUAGAGUGCUUGGGAGCCGACUAUGGAACUUCAGAGCGAGAUACGUCUCCUUUCUAACCUUGUAAGAGGGAAUUAACCUCAUAGGUGAAAUAAAUUAAUAUGUGCUUCUAAUUGUGGGGGCUACUUACAUACGAGGCGACGAGAGUCCAUACGUAGCUUCUAGCUAUGCCUAUGUCCGGGUAGUUUUAGGUUUACAUCAUACCUUGUUGAUAUUGUUUUUUGAUUUAUGGUUAUUGUUUGCCUUGAGAAGAAGCAAGAUUGAGGUUUACAUCAUGCCUUGUUACACUUUGUAUUUUCAAAAAGAAUUGAAGAGUAUUAUAAUAACUUAAGAAAUCUAUGUGUAACCGCGUCACAAUUAUAUUCCUCGAGCGGGGUAAAUUUGCACUACUCUCAUUGGAGCGGGUCGUUCACCUCAGCAGAUUAAAUAGAUGCAUCUAUGGUUCGGGCCAUUCAACCCUCGGCAGUGCACAAUUUAUAUUUAUAUGUUAGUUCGUGUCGUUUGACCCUCGACAGUGCACAAUUUAUAUUUACAUUUUGGAUACUGCUUCAUUUAUACUGCUAUGGUUUAGAAUUUAUAAUAAUUGAUACUACUUCAUUGGUCUGAGAUAUAAAUUUAUAAAUGAUGAAAAAUGAAUUUGAAAAAUUCUUAUCAAUAAAAGAAUUGUUUACUUACUUCAUGAUAUUGAGCUUACAACCAUUCUAUGUAACCCAUGGUUAAAUAUAUCAUUGUUAUAUUAUUGUUGGCCCAUAGUAAGUGGCGGAGUCGACCUUUCGUCACUACUUCUUCGAGGUUAUACUGUAUACUUACUGUAUAUGUGUUGAAUUACGUACUCAUACUACACCUACUGCAUAUUUUAUUGUGCAGGUGCAUAGAUGUCUCAUGGCUUUGUGGGUGCAGUGGCACAAUUGAUAUGGGGGCUUAGGUGAGCUGCAUCUUAUGUUACGAUCCGCACCUAGCAGUGUCUCCUUCAGAGUAUUUAUAUCUUCUUUCCUUUCCAAAUUUGUAUUUUGGAUAGAUGUUGUAUUUUAUUUUAUUUCUCAGUUGAUGCUCAUGCACUUGUGACACCAGGUUUUGGGGUGAUUAUGGGUCGUUCAGUAUAGAAAUUGUUAAAACAUUGUUAUUUACAC
RNAcentral lists this long non-coding RNA (4023 nucleotides) under Nicotiana tabacum (common tobacco). RNAcentral describes it as "long non-coding RNA (NTAB_LNC018952)". The record is from RNAcentral. Lineage: Eukaryota; Viridiplantae; Streptophyta; Magnoliopsida; Solanales; Solanaceae.